GAUGAACGCUGGCGGCGUGCCUAAUACAUGCAAGUCGAGCGAACAGACGAGGAGCUUGCUCCUCUGACGUUAGCGGCGGACGGGUGAGUAACACGUGGCUAACCUACCUAUAAGACUGGGAUAACUACGGGAAACCGGAGCUAAUACCGGAUAAUAUAUUGAACCGCAUGGUUCAAUAGUGAAAGACGGUUUUGCUGUCACUUAUAGAUGGAUCCGCGCCGCAUUAGCUAGUUGGUAAGGUAACGGCUUACCAAGGCAACGAUGCGUAGCCGACCUGAGAGGGUGAUCGGCCACACUGGAACUGAGACACGGUCCAGACUCCUACGGGAGGCAGCAGUAGGGAAUCUUCCGCAAUGGGCGAAAGCUUGACGGAGCAACGCCGCGUGAGUGAUGAAGGUCUUCGGAUCGUAAAACUCUGUUAUUAGGGAAGAACAAAUGUGUAAGUAACUAUGCACGUCUUGACGGUACCUAAUCAGAAAGCCACGGCUAACUACGUG
This 497-nucleotide ribosomal RNA is filed under the name uncultured bacterium. Its description in RNAcentral is "partial 16S ribosomal RNA". It matches the Rfam family "Bacterial small subunit ribosomal RNA", at positions 28 to 507 of the family's 1533-position model. The record is from RNAcentral.